This 303-nucleotide ribosomal RNA is filed under the name uncultured bacterium. RNAcentral's name for it is "partial 16S ribosomal RNA". It matches the Rfam family "Bacterial small subunit ribosomal RNA", at positions 507 to 807 of the family's 1533-position model. The record is from RNAcentral.
AGCAGUCGCCACGGUAAUACAGAGGGUGCGAGCGUUAAUCGGAUUUACUGGGCGUAAAGCGUGCGUAGGCGGCUUCUUAAGUCGGAUGUGAAAUCCCUGAGCUUAACUUAGGAAUUGCAUUCGAUACUGGGAAGCUAGAGUAUGGGAGAGGAUGGUAGAAUUCCAGGUGUAGCGGUGAAAUGCGUAGAGAUCUGGAGGAAUACCGAUGGCGAAGGCAGCCAUCUGGCCUAAUACUGACGCUGAGGUACGAAAGCAUGGGGAGCAAACAGGAUUAGAGACCCCAGUAGUCCCUGUCUCUUAUAC